ACUAAUGGGAUACUUAGUACGGCGAGUGAAGCGGUAAAAGCUCAAAUUUGAAAUCUGGUACUUUCAGUGCCCGAGUUGUAAUUUGUAGAAUUUGUCUUUGAUUAGGUCCUUGUCUAUGUUCCUUGGAACAGGACGUCAUAGAGGGUGAGAAUCCCGUUUGGCGAGGAUACCUUUUCUCUGUAAGACUUUUUCGAAGAGUCGAGUUGUUUGGGAAUGCAGCUCAAAGUGGGUGGUAAAUUCCAUCUAAAGCUAAAUAUUGGCGAGAGACCGAUAGCGAACAAGUACAGUGAUGGAAAGAUGAAAAGAACUUUGAAAAGAGAGUGAAAAAGUACGUGAAAUUGUUGAAAGGGAAGGGCAUUUGAUCAGACAUGGUGUUUUUUGCAUGCACUCGCCUCUCGUGGGCUUGGGCCUCUCAAAAAUUUCACUGGGCCAACAUCAAUUCUGGCAGCAGGAUAAAUCAUUAAGAAUGUAGCUACUUCGGUAGUGUUAUAGCUUUUUGGAAUACUGUUAGCCGGGAUUGAGGACUGCGCUUCGGCAAGGAUGUUGGCAUAAUGGUUAAAUGCCGCCCGUCUUGACCCACGGGACCA
Molecule: ribosomal RNA, 587 nt
Filed under: Hanseniaspora uvarum
Lineage: Eukaryota; Fungi; Ascomycota; Saccharomycetes; Saccharomycodales; Saccharomycodaceae
Description: partial large subunit ribosomal RNA
Rfam family: Eukaryotic large subunit ribosomal RNA
Source: RNAcentral